GGGGAUGUCAAUGGCAAGCACCAAGGAAUGUCAUACAGCUCACAAUCCCAGGAAAGUGCCAACUUCACCCUAAAGUACUCCAGCUGAUAUGGGGGUGUUUUGGAGAAACUCAGGUUUACCUGUUUGCUUUAGCCAAGACCGGCCACAGCUCCGCUCAGCACAGAUGCACUGGCUCACUGCUGGAUUCGGACAUGUGUAUCAGGCAAGUUUGCGUUUCCCUAGUGAGUCUUCUUGUACAGACCCUGUGCAAGGUCAGGGAGGACGAGGAGCAGAUCUUGCUGGUUGCACCACACUGGCCCACCCAGACCCGGUUUCCAGAACUCACACUCCUCGGGACAGACCCUCCCUGACAGAUUCUCCUGAGAAAGGACCUUCUUUCUCAAGGAGGUUUUCUAUCUGGCACUUACGUCCAGAUCAGAAUAAGGAGAAGCUGUCAGGGAGGACGAGGAGCAGAUCUUGCUGGUUGCACCACACUGGCCCACCCAGACCUGGUUUCCAGAACUCACACUCCUCGGGACAGACCCUCCCUGACAGAUUCUCCUGAGGAAGGACCUUCUUUCUCAAGGAGGUUUUCCAUCUGGCACUUACGUCCAGAUCAGAAAAAGGAGAAGGUAGUUGGAAUUUUUAUAGAUUUAAAGAAGGCAUUUGAUACAAUAAAUGAUAAUAUAUUGGUAA
Molecule: non-coding RNA, 675 nt
Organism: Danio rerio (zebrafish)
Lineage: Eukaryota; Metazoa; Chordata; Actinopteri; Cypriniformes; Danionidae
Source: RefSeq, a predicted model, not a curated record